RNAcentral lists this long non-coding RNA (1883 nucleotides) under Citrus maxima (pomelo). RNAcentral's name for it is "long non-coding RNA (CMAX_LNC001505)". Lineage: Eukaryota; Viridiplantae; Streptophyta; Magnoliopsida; Sapindales; Rutaceae. The record is from RNAcentral.
ACCAAUUUAAUAUCCUACAAAAUACAAAUAAUUCAAACCAUAUUCUAAACUUAAAUAUACAAUAAUCCAAACACCAUAUUACAAAUUCUUGACAAUAUAAAUAACAGUAAUUCAAAUUCAAAUUAUAAACUAAGAUUAUUUGUUUAGUUCUCUUCAUUUUGUCUUUGUCAUCUUGAAAACAAUAAUCCUACACAAAAAAUAAAUAAAAUGAUAUUAACAUGGUACAAUACUGAUAAUAGUCACUGUAGUAUUUCAGAAUAUCAAAUAUAUAGCAAAUUUGUAGUAUUGUUAAGGAAAUAAUAAUUAAAUCUAUAAAGCCAAGAAAAACAAACAAGAUAAAACUUUACCUAUCAUACUCCCACAUUGUCAUUAGGAUAAGAUGAGCAAUAGAAACAAUAGUUAAUGUUAUUAAAUAAAUCAGCAAACAUUUCACUUUAGCUAUAAUCCAUUUUCUCAAUCAUGAGAUGGAAAUUUAAUACAACCAAUCAUAAGCUUGAAUUACUUCUAAGGUAGCGUUUACUUUUUGGAUUGGAUUGGGAAUCCUGGGGAGUGGGAAUCCUAGGAUUGGGAGUGUGGAGUGUGAGUGGGAGUAGGUUGUUUACUUACACUGGAAUGGAAGCAUGGAAUGGAGAUCAGAAUCCAAUUUAUGUGUUUAUUUUGUCUUGAAUUGGGAGUAAAUAGUUUCAAAUUACAAUUUUAUCCUUAUUUAAAGAAUUAUAAUUUUUAAUUACAAAACUAAUAAAAAAUAUAUUUAAUGAAUAAUAUUUAUUUUAUUAUAUUUGUAAAUUUAUUAUAAUUAUUAAUAUUCUUAAUUAUGAACAAUAAAUUAUUAAUUGUAAUUUUAAUAUAAAAUGAAAUGUUAUUUUAUUUUAUAUAAUUAUAUUAAAUUUAUUAUUAUAUAAAAUAAUAAUAUAAUAUUAUUUAUUACAAAAUUAAUAUUUUCUUAGAAUAAAGUAUUUAUUAUUAUUAUUAUUAUUAAAUAAAUAUAGUACUAUUAUUUUUAAAAUAAAUAUAAUAAUAUUAUAUUUAUUAAUUCUCUAUUAAUAUAAUAAUAUUAUUUUAAAAUAAUUUUAACUUAGAAUCAAUGUAAAUUAUUAUUUAGUUAAAUAUAAUAUUAUUAUUUAAAUAAAUAUAAUAUUAUUUAUUUUAUUUUAUUAAUUAUAAAACAUAAAAUAAAAAAAAGGGUAGAAAUGGGAGAGGUGGGAGUGGAUUCCCACUCCCACCUCCCCCAAUGGGAGUCCCACUCCCACUUCCCACUCCAAAAAUGGGUGGGGCCCACGGAGUGGGAUUCCCAAUCCCUCCCUAUUUUAAGUAAGUAAACGCUGGAGUGGGAGGAAUCCACACUCCUCACUCCCACUCCAGCAAGUAAACACAACAUAAGCUGAAAAAACGAAUCACUACCAAAAAGGCUGCAUCUUGAUGGCAGUGCAUUUGAGGAAAAGAAUAAAAGAAAAAAGAAUCAUAUCAAUUCAAAUUUCAAAAUAUGUAGAGAUAAAUCUGGAGAAAUCUAAAGGUAAAAAAUAUAAAAUAAUGUAAAAUAUUUAAAUAUAGCUAGAGUCUAGUAAAUUUCAAAUUGAAAUAAGUUUAUUUUAAAAAAUAAAAAUAAAAUUCUAAGCAAUAGUAUUUCUCUAUAAUUUCCACUUGUAAAAACAACAAGCAAAUCAACAAUUCACUUAGUCUUGUCCAAAGCCGACGCUACAAAGCUCAAAAAUUAAAAAAAGAAAAAGAAUUAGAGCUUAUUGGUAUAAGGUGCCGGGCGAGAAAUUGUGGAGAAAAAAAAAGAAAAAUUUUGAGUCUGAACAGUGGAGACAAGAGAGGGCUGCCGCAGCUGAAAGAUGAGGGGAAAGAAAGAGCGAAAUAAUGAAAUGAGAAAAUCAGGGCCG